Molecule: ribosomal RNA, 2277 nt
Filed under: human gut metagenome
Description: bacterial LSU rRNA
Rfam family: Bacterial large subunit ribosomal RNA
Source: RNAcentral
UCAAGCUACUAAGGGCAUACGGUGGAUGCCUUGGCACUAAGAGCCGAUGAAGGACGCGGUAAGCUGCGAAAAGCCACGGGGAACUGCAAGCAAGUCUUGAUCCGUGGAUGUCCGAAUGGGGAAACCCACCAUCCGUCAUGGGAUGGUAUCCUACGGGAGGGGAACCCGGUGAACUGAAACAUCUAAGUAGCCGGAGGAAGAGAAAUCAAACGAGAUGCCCACAGUAGCGGCGAGCGAAGAGGGCAGAGCCUAAACCAGUCAUCUUCGGAUGGUUGGGGUUACGGACCUGCAUCAACCGAGUCCUACCUAGUCGAAUUACCUGGAAAGGUAAGCCAGAGAGCGUAAGAGCCGCGUAGGUGAAAGGAAGGACGAGGGGGCAGGGAUCCAGAGUACCACGAAGCACGAGGAAUUUUGUGGGAAGUCGGGGGGACCACCCUCCAAGGCUAAACACUUCUUAGUGACCGAUAGCGCAUAGUACCGUGAGGGAAAGGUGAAAAGAACCGCGGGAGCGGAGUGAAAGAGAACCUGAAACCGUAUGUCUACAAGCAGUCGGAGCGCAAGCGACGGCGUGCCUAUUGAAGAAUGAGCCAACGAGUUACGGGCACCAGCGAGGUUAAGCAGGAAAUGCGGAGCCGGAGCGAAAGCGAGUCUAAACAGGGCGAAUAGUUGGUGUUCGUAGACCCGAAACUGUAGUGAUCUACCCAUGAUCAGGUUGAAGCGCAGGUAAAAAUGCGUGGAGGACCGAACCGGUGAGCGUUGAAAAGCUUUCGGAUGAAUCGUGGGUAGCGGUGAAAUUCCAAUCGAACGCAGAGAUAGCUGGUUCUCCUCGAAAUAGCUUUAGGGCUAGCCUCAAGCAGUAAGCAUAGGCGGUAGAGCACUGAUCGGGAUAGGGUCCGUAAAGGAUACCGAACCCUGUCAAACUACGAAUGGUUAUGCUGCAGAGCUUGGGAGUCAGACUACGAGAGAUAAGUCCCGUUGUCAAAAGGGAAACAGCCCAGACCGUCAGCUAAGGUCCCCAAUGCCAUACUAAGUGGAAAAGGAUGUGGGGUCUCAUAAACAACCAGGAUGUUGGCUCAGAAGCAGCCACCAUUUAAAGAGUGCGUAAUAGCUCACUGGUCGAGAGGCCCUGCGCCGAAGAUUCCCGGGGCUAAAGUAUGGAACCGAAGCUACGGAUGCGGUACUUGUACCGCGUGGUAGAGGAGCGUUCCCAUUGGGUUGAAGUCGUCCUGGAAGGGACGGUGGACUGGUGGGAAGUGAGAAUGUUGGCAUGAGUAGCGAAAAGAUAGGUGAGAAUCCUAUCCACCGAAAGCAUAAGGAUUCCUGAGCAACGAUCGUCGUCUCAGGGUAAGUCGGGACCUAAUCCGAGGCAUGGAGCGUAGGAGAUGGACAACUGGUUGAUAUUCCAGUACCGGCAGCAAUCGUUUGAACGAUGGAGUGACGCAGGAAGGCAGGUCCGCGCGAGAAUGGUAGAUCGCGUACAAGCGUGCAGGCUGGUGCACAGGCAAAUCCGUGUACUGAGGCUGAGGCGUGAUGUGGAGGGAACUUGUUCCCGAAGGGAUUGAGCCUACGCUGCCGAGAAAAGCUUCUAGUGAGAAAGCUGCCGCCCGUACCGUAAACCGACACAGGUAUGCGGGGAGAGAAUCCUAAGGUGCGCGGGAGAACCCUCGUUAAGGAACUCGGCAAAAUGUACCCGUAACUUCGGGAUAAGGGUAGCCACAGUGGUGAAGGGACUUGCUCCUGGAGCCUAGUGUGGUCGCAGAGAAGAGGCCCAAGCGACUGUUAACCAGAAACACAGGUGCCUGCGAAAGAGAAAUCUGAUGUAUAGGUGCUGACACCUGCCCAGUGCUGGAAGGUUAAAGAAGGAUGUCCGGGUUCGACCCAAAGCAUUUGACUGAAGCCCCAGUGAACGGCGGCCGUAACUAUAACGGUCCUAAGGUAGCGAAAUUCCUUGUCGGGUAAGUUCCGACCCGCACGAAAGGUGUAACGAUUUGGGCACUGUCUCAACGAGGGACCCGGUGAAAUUGAAAUACCUGUGAAGAUGCAGGUUACCCGCGACUGGACAGAAAGACCCCAUGGAGCUUUACUGUAACCUAAUAUUGGGUUCUGAUAUUCGACGCACAGGAUAGGUGGGAGGCUUGGAGCAUGGUCCUCUGGGAUCAUGGGAGCCGCCGUUGGGAUACCACCCUUCGAAUAUCGGGAUUCUAACCGCAGGAGCAACGAUCCUCGGGACAGUGUUAGGCGGGCAGUUUGACUGGGGCGGUCGCCUCCUAAAGAGUA